This 460-nucleotide ribosomal RNA is filed under the name uncultured bacterium. RNAcentral describes it as "partial 16S ribosomal RNA". It matches the Rfam family "Bacterial small subunit ribosomal RNA", at positions 338 to 795 of the family's 1533-position model. The record is from RNAcentral.
CCUACGGGAGGCAGCAGUGAGGAAUAUUGGUCAAUGGCCGUAAGGCUGAACCAGCCAAGUCGCGUGAAGGAAGAAGGCCCUAUGGUUUGUAAACUUCUUUUAUAGGGGAAUAAAGGUAUCCACGUGUGGAUAUUUGCAUGUACCCUAUGAAUAAGCAUCGGCUAACUCCGUGCCAGCAGCCGCGGUAAUACGGAGGAUGCGAGCGUUAUCCGGAUUUAUUGGGUUUAAAGGGUGCGUAUGUUGUUUUUUAAGUCAGCGGUGAAAGUUUGUGGCUCAACCAUAAAAUUGCCGUUGAAACUGGAAGACGUGAGUGUGUUUGAGGUAGGCGGAAUGCGUGGUGUAGCGGUGAAAUGCAGAGAUAUCACGCAGAACUCCGAUUGCGAAGGCAGCUUACUAAGCCAUAACUGACACUGAGGCACGAAAGCGUGGGGAUCAAACAGGAUUAGAUACCCGAGUAGUC